UACGUAGGGUCCGAGCGUUGUCCGGAAUUAUUGGGCGUAAAGAGCUCGUAGGCGGUUUGUCGCGUCUGCUGUGAAAUCCCGAGGCUCAACCUCGGGUCUGCAGUGGGUACGGGCAGACUGGAGUGCGGUAGGGGAGAAUGGAGUUCCUGGUGUAGCGGUGGAAUGCGCAGAUAUCAGGAGGAACACCGAUGGCGAAGGCAGUUCUCUGGGCCGUAACUGACGCUGAGGAGCGAAAGCGUGGGGAGCGAACAGG
This 253-nucleotide ribosomal RNA is filed under the name uncultured bacterium. RNAcentral's name for it is "partial 16S ribosomal RNA". It matches the Rfam family "Bacterial small subunit ribosomal RNA", at positions 524 to 776 of the family's 1533-position model. The record is from RNAcentral.